Molecule: long non-coding RNA, 914 nt
Filed under: Cyanistes caeruleus (blue tit)
Lineage: Eukaryota; Metazoa; Chordata; Aves; Passeriformes; Paridae
Description: lncRNA (ENSCCEG00000014928.1)
Source: RNAcentral
CCUUUGAUCCAUUUUGGGCCUCUCUUUGCAAAUGCUUUUGUCUGCCUCACCUCCUAUUGAACUAUACUCUAAUUUCUGACUUUUUUUAAGCUAGAAAACAGGAGUCAGUGUCAUGCAUGGAUUCACUGCUCAGCUCUGUGGCCAGCAUGAGGAAAACAAGAUUGGAAAAUAAAGGACAUUAGCCAACACCAAAGGCAAAGCUCACUCUGAUGUGUUAUGGAAUCAUCUUGAGAAAUUCCCUCCAUCCCCAGAAUUAGAAUCUGGACUGUGUUCUGAAGCAUAAGGAAGCAGAGGAAACAAAGAAGGACAAGGACCAGCAGACCUGAUUCCUGUCACAGUUGUUUUUAUUACUGCCCUGCUAAAUCAUCUCUGGAAGUUCCUGCACUCCCAACCUGAAUUGCUUCCCAGCAGUCGCAAAAAGACCCUACAGCCACGUGUUAGCAGUGGGAGUCACCAGUGAUUGUCACAGCACCUUGUGUUUCUUUCUUUCUGAAUUACUUCUGCCUCGAAAUACAAUAACUGGCAGGCCCAGAGUGAACUGGCCUGGGUAGGUGUUCCUGUAUUCAUUUAUACUGAUACAAGAAAAAUCAUGAUUUCAAAAGUCAGCCUCUUACUCAGGCAAGACUACCACAGCAGACAAUACUGGCAUACCGUGUACUGGGGUGUUGGCAGAGAGUAGCUGCUUCAGACUGCAGCAAGACUGCUUUUUAAGUUAAUUGCUUCCUCCCUGCCACUGCAGGAUCAUGCACAGCAAUUUAUGGCAUCAUUUUAUGUUGGUUAUUAGUACUAAAACCUUUUGUCACUUGAAUAACUUUCACUUAAUUUGAAGCAUAUGCUAUAAGCUUGAAAUGCAAAGUGUACCUUUGAAAAACAGAAAUUACUGUCACUGGGAGUUAGUGGAUGAGGGAGGCAAG